RNAcentral lists this ribosomal RNA (253 nucleotides) under uncultured bacterium. RNAcentral describes it as "partial 16S ribosomal RNA". It matches the Rfam family "Bacterial small subunit ribosomal RNA", at positions 524 to 776 of the family's 1533-position model. The record is from RNAcentral.
UACGGAGGGUGCAAGCGUUAUCCGGAUUCACUGGGUUUAAAGGGUGCGUAGGCGGGCAGGUAAGUCAGUGGUGAAAUCCCCGAGCUCAACUUGGGAAUUGCCGUUGAUACUAUCUGUCUUGAAUAUCGUGGAGGUGAGCGGAAUAUGUCACGUAGCGGUGAAAUGCUUAGAUAUGACAUAGAACACCCAUUGCGAAGGCAGCUCACUACACGACAAUUGACGCUGAGGCACGAAAGCGUGGGGAGCAAACAGG